Molecule: ribosomal RNA, 2815 nt
Filed under: Staphylococcus aureus
Lineage: Bacteria; Bacillati; Bacillota; Bacilli; Caryophanales; Staphylococcaceae
Description: bacterial LSU rRNA
Rfam family: Bacterial large subunit ribosomal RNA
Source: RNAcentral
AGGGCGCACAGUAGAUGCCUUGGCACUAGAAGCCGAUGAAGGACGUUACUAACGACGAUAUGCUUUGGGGAGCUGUAAGUAAGCUUUGAUCCAGAGAUUUCCGAAUGGGGAAACCCAGCAUGAGUUAUGUCAUGUUAUCGAUAUGUGAAUACAUAGCAUAUCAGAAGGCACACCCGGAGAACUGAAACAUCUUAGUACCCGGAGGAAGAGAAAGAAAAUUCGAUUCCCUUAGUAGCGGCGAGCGAAACGGGAAGAGCCCAAACCAACAAGCUUGCUUGUUGGGGUUGUAGGACACUCUAUACGGAGUUACAAAGGACGACAUUAGACGAAUCAUCUGGAAAGAUGAAUCAAAGAAGGUAAUAAUCCUGUAGUCGAAAAUGUUGUCUCUCUUGAGUGGAUCCUGAGUACGACGGAGCACGUGAAAUUCCGUCGGAAUCUGGGAGGACCAUCUCCUAAGGCUAAAUACUCUCUAGUGACCGAUAGUGAACCAGUACCGUGAGGGAAAGGUGAAAAGCACCCCGGAAGGGGAGUGAAAUAGAACCUGAAACCGUGUGCUUACAAGUAGUCAGAGCCCGUUAAUGGGUGAUGGCGUGCCUUUUGUAGAAUGAACCGGCGAGUUACGAUUUGAUGCAAGGUUAAGCAGUAAAUGUGGAGCCGUAGCGAAAGCGAGUCUGAAUAGGGCGUUUAGUAUUUGGUCGUAGACCCGAAACCAGGUGAUCUACCCUUGGUCAGGUUGAAGUUCAGGUAACACUGAAUGGAGGACCGAACCGACUUACGUUGAAAAGUGAGCGGAUGAACUGAGGGUAGCGGAGAAAUUCCAAUCGAACCUGGAGAUAGCUGGUUCUCUCCGAAAUAGCUUUAGGGCUAGCCUCAAGUGAUGAUUAUUGGAGGUAGAGCACUGUUUGGACGAGGGGCCCCUCUCGGGUUACCGAAUUCAGACAAACUCCGAAUGCCAAUUAAUUUAACUUGGGAGUCAGAACAUGGGUGAUAAGGUCCGUGUUCGAAAGGGAAACAGCCCAGACCACCAGCUAAGGUCCCAAAAUAUAUGUUAAGUGGAAAAGGAUGUGGCGUUGCCCAGACAACUAGGAUGUUGGCUUAGAAGCAGCCAUCAUUUAAAGAGUGCGUAAUAGCUCACUAGUCGAGUGACACUGCGCCGAAAAUGUACCGGGGCUAAACAUAUUACCGAAGCUGUGGAUUGUCCUUUGGACAAUGGUAGGAGAGCGUUCUAAGGGCGUUGAAGCAUGAUCGUAAGGACAUGUGGAGCGCUUAGAAGUGAGAAUGCCGGUGUGAGUAGCGAAAGACGGGUGAGAAUCCCGUCCACCGAUUGACUAAGGUUUCCAGAGGAAGGCUCGUCCGCUCUGGGUUAGUCGGGUCCUAAGCUGAGGCCGACAGGCGUAGGCGAUGGAUAACAGGUUGAUAUUCCUGUACCACCUAUAAUCGUUUUAAUCGAUGGGGGGACGCAGUAGGAUAGGCGAAGCGUGCGAUUGGAUUGCACGUCUAAGCAGUAAGGCUGAGUAUUAGGCAAAUCCGGUACUCGUUAAGGCUGAGCUGUGAUGGGGAGAAGACAUUGUGUCUUCGAGUCGUUGAUUUCACACUGCCGAGAAAAGCCUCUAGAUAGAAAAUAGGUGCCCGUACCGCAAACCGACACAGGUAGUCAAGAUGAGAAUUCUAAGGUGAGCGAGCGAACUCUCGUUAAGGAACUCGGCAAAAUGACCCCGUAACUUCGGGAGAAGGGGUGCUCUUUAGGGUUAACGCCCAGAAGAGCCGCAGUGAAUAGGCCCAAGCGACUGUUUAUCAAAAACACAGGUCUCUGCUAAACCGUAAGGUGAUGUAUAGGGGCUGACGCCUGCCCGGUGCUGGAAGGUUAAGAGGAGUGGUUAGCUUCUGCGAAGCUACGAAUCGAAGCCCCAGUAAACGGCGGCCGUAACUAUAACGGUCCUAAGGUAGCGAAAUUCCUUGUCGGGUAAGUUCCGACCCGCACGAAAGGCGUAACGAUUUGGGCACUGUCUCAACGAGAGACUCGGUGAAAUCAUAGUACCUGUGAAGAUGCAGGUUACCCGCGACAGGACGGAAAGACCCCGUGGAGCUUUACUGUAGCCUGAUAUUGAAAUUCGGCACAGCUUGUACAGGAUAGGUAGGAGCCUUUGAAACGUGAGCGCUAGCUUACGUGGAGGCGCUGGUGGGAUACUACCCUAGCUGUGUUGGCUUUCUAACCCGCACCACUUAUCGUGGUGGGAGACAGUGUCAGGCGGGCAGUUUGACUGGGGCGGUCGCCUCCUAAAAGGUAACGGAGGCGCUCAAAGGUUCCCUCAGAAUGGUUGGAAAUCAUUCAUAGAGUGUAAAGGCAUAAGGGAGCUUGACUGCGAGACCUACAAGUCGAGCAGGGUCGAAAGACGGACUUAGUGAUCCGGUGGUUCCGCAUGGAAGGGCCAUCGCUCAACGGAUAAAAGCUACCCCGGGGAUAACAGGCUUAUCUCCCCCAAGAGUUCACAUCGACGGGGAGGUUUGGCACCUCGAUGUCGGCUCAUCGCAUCCUGGGGCUGUAGUCGGUCCCAAGGGUUGGGCUGUUCGCCCAUUAAAGCGGUACGCGAGCUGGGUUCAGAACGUCGUGAGACAGUUCGGUCCCUAUCCGUCGUGGGCGUAGGAAAUUUGAGAGGAGCUGUCCUUAGUACGAGAGGACCGGGAUGGACAUACCUCUGGUGUACCAGUUGUCGUGCCAACGGCAUAGCUGGGUAGCUAUGUGUGGACGGGAUAAGUGCUGAAAGCAUCUAAGCAUGAAGCCCCCCUCAAGAUGAGAUUUCCCAACUUCGGUUAU